RNAcentral lists this ribosomal RNA (195 nucleotides) under uncultured bacterium. Its description in RNAcentral is "partial 16S ribosomal RNA". It matches the Rfam family "Bacterial small subunit ribosomal RNA", at positions 333 to 525 of the family's 1533-position model. The record is from RNAcentral.
AGAUUCCUACGGGAGGCAGCAGUGAGGAAUAUUGGUCAAUGGUCGCAAGACUGAACCAGCCAUGCCGCGUGCAGGAUGAAUGUUCUAUGAAUUGUAAACUGCUUUUCUAAGGGAAGAAACCUAUCCUCGUGAGGGUAGUUGCCGGUACCUUGGGAAUAAGCAUCGGCUAACUCCGUGCCAGCAGCCGCGGUAAUA